AUAAAUCCUGCUUUCAAAAAAAAAAAAAAUAGAAUGACUCAGAGAAGAUUAGCAUGCCCCCUACACAAGGAUGGCAUGCAAAUCUGUAAAGCAUUCCACAUUUUC
RNAcentral lists this small nuclear RNA (105 nucleotides) under Carlito syrichta (Philippine tarsier). Lineage: Eukaryota; Metazoa; Chordata; Mammalia; Primates; Tarsiidae. The record is from RNAcentral.